GCCUGUGUGGUGUAGUAGUAUGGACAUUAGACUUGGAUUCUAGAUACUAGGGUUCAAAUCCCCGUUCAGUCU
This 72-nucleotide transfer RNA is filed under the name Anolis carolinensis (green anole). It matches the Rfam family "tRNA". From Rfam's summary of the family: Transfer RNA (tRNA) molecules are approximately 80 nucleotides in length. Their secondary structure includes four short double-helical elements and three loops (D, anti-codon, and T loops). The record is from Rfam by way of RNAcentral. Lineage: Eukaryota; Metazoa; Chordata; Lepidosauria; Squamata; Anolidae.